RNAcentral lists this unclassified non-coding RNA (309 nucleotides) under Hevea brasiliensis (rubber tree). Lineage: Eukaryota; Viridiplantae; Streptophyta; Magnoliopsida; Malpighiales; Euphorbiaceae. The record is from RNAcentral.
AGAAAAUAAGGAGUGUUUCUACUAAUUUACCCCUAAUUAAUUGCCUUGAAGAAAUAAAUUAUUCCUUAAUCCUAUAAAACAUCAUGUAUCAAAACAAGGGUUAUUCUGGAAGAGUUCGAUUAAUUCUAUCUCCUUUUUUUUCACACGGUGUUUGAAGCCCCAACUAUCUCCGAAUUGCACACUCUAGGGUCCAUUUGGGGGUGUCCUAAGCCUUGACUAACUUUGGAUCGCGCACUCUAGGGAUCAUUUGGGGGUGAAGCUCCAACCAUAUUAAGCAAUAGUCCCACCACUGCACCACAACCAUCCUUG